GCCUGCAUGGUGUAGUGGUUAACGCUACUGGCCUCGGAUUUUUAGACGCGGGUUCGAUUCCGUCUGAAGUCG
Non-coding RNA from Caenorhabditis brenneri, 72 nucleotides. NCBI's taxonomy places the organism in Eukaryota, Metazoa, Nematoda, Chromadorea, Rhabditida, Rhabditidae. The record is from the annotation of a GenBank genome assembly.